RNAcentral lists this ribosomal RNA (492 nucleotides) under uncultured bacterium. Its description in RNAcentral is "partial 16S ribosomal RNA". It matches the Rfam family "Bacterial small subunit ribosomal RNA", at positions 29 to 507 of the family's 1533-position model. The record is from RNAcentral.
AGUGAACGCUGGCGGUAGGCCUAACACAUGCAAGUCGAACGGCAGCACAGUAAGAGCUUGCUCUUACGGGUGGCGAGUGGCGGACGGGUGAGGAAUACAUCGGAAUCUACUUUUUCGUGGGGGAUAACGUAGGGAAACUUACGCUAAUACCUCAUACGACCUACGGGUGAAAGCAGGGGAUCUUCGUACCUUGCGCGAUUGAAUGAGCCGAUGUCGGAUUAGCUAGUUGGCGGGGUAAAGGCCCACCAAGGCGACGAUCCGUAGCUGGUCUGAGAGGAUGAUCAGCAACACUGGAACUGAAACACGGUCCAGACUCCUACGGGAGGCAGCAGUGGGGAAUAUUGGACAAUGGGCGCAAGCCUGAUCCAGCCAGACCGCGUGGGUGAAGAAGGCCUUCGGGUUGUAAGGCCCUUUUGUUGGGAAAGAAAAGCAGCAGGUUAAUACCCCGCUGUUCUGACGGUACCCAAAGAAUAAGCACCGGCUAACUUCGUG